RNAcentral lists this ribosomal RNA (301 nucleotides) under uncultured bacterium. RNAcentral's name for it is "partial 16S ribosomal RNA". It matches the Rfam family "Bacterial small subunit ribosomal RNA", at positions 509 to 807 of the family's 1533-position model. The record is from RNAcentral.
CAGCAGCCGCGGGAAUACAGAGGGUGCGAGCGUUAAUCGGAUUUACUGGGCGUAAAGCGUGCGUAGGCGGCUUCUUAAGUCGGAUGUGAAAUCCCUGAGCUUAACUUAGGAAUUGCAUUCGAUACUGGGAAGCUAGAGUAUGGGAGAGGAUGGUAGAAUUCCAGGUGUAGCGGUGAAAUGCGUAGAGAUCUGGAGGAAUACCGAUGGCGAAGGCAGCCAUCUGGCCUAAUACUGACGCUGAGGUACGAAAGCAUGGGGAGCAAACAGGAUUAGAGACCCGAGUAGUCCCUGUCUCUUAUAC